GUGACCUUGGCCUUGAAGGGGCUGCCGACGAUGUGGUGGGGGCCGCCGUACUUGAUGGAGAUGAGGUAGUUGCCGGGGGCCAUGGGGGUGUAGGUGACGCGGUGACCCUCGGCGCACUCCACGCAGUCCAGCUUCACCUUGGAGGGGCCGUCGAUGGUGACCGAGAGCGCGCCCGCCCCCGCGUUGGCCGUCUUCACCAGGAACUCCGAGCACACCCCUGCACGCGCGCGUGUCACACGCCGGCACCGGGACGCGGCCCCGCGGCCACCACCCCGUGCCCUGGCCCUAUUGGCACCGUCCUAUUGCCAUGGCCCUAUUGGCACCAUCCUGCUACCAUGGCCAUAUACCCAUUGCCAUGACUCCAUGCCAUGGCCAUGUCCCCAUUGUCACCAUCCUACUGCCAUGGCCAUGGCCCUAUUGUCACCACCCUAAUGCCACGGCCAUAUCCCCAUUGCCCCCACCCCAUGCCAUGGCCAUGUCCCCACCGCCACCACCCCAAAGGCACGGCCACAUCCCCAUUGCCCCCACCCUAUA
RNAcentral lists this long non-coding RNA (534 nucleotides) under Anas platyrhynchos platyrhynchos (common mallard). RNAcentral describes it as "lncRNA (ENSAPLG00000020742.1)". Lineage: Eukaryota; Metazoa; Chordata; Aves; Anseriformes; Anatidae. The record is from RNAcentral.